RNAcentral lists this ribosomal RNA (1049 nucleotides) under Streptococcus salivarius. RNAcentral's name for it is "bacterial SSU rRNA". It matches the Rfam family "Bacterial small subunit ribosomal RNA", at positions 56 to 1088 of the family's 1533-position model. The record is from RNAcentral. Lineage: Bacteria; Bacillati; Bacillota; Bacilli; Lactobacillales; Streptococcaceae.
UGCAGUAGAACGCUGAAGAGAGGAGCUUGCUCUUCUUGGAUGAGUUGCGAACGGGUGAGUAACGCGUAGGUAACCUGCCUUGUAGCGGGGGAUAACUAUUGGAAACGAUAGCUAAUACCGCAUAACAAUGGAUGACACAUGUCAUUUAUUUGAAAGGGGCAAUUGCUCCACUACAAGAUGGACCUGCGUUGUAUUAGCUAGUAGGUGAGGUAACGGCUCACCUAGGCGACGAUACAUAGCCGACCUGAGAGGGUGAUCGGCCACACUGGGACUGAGACACGGCCCAGACUCCUACGGGAGGCAGCAGUAGGGAAUCUUCGGCAAUGGGGGCAACCCUGACCGAGCAACGCCGCGUGAGUGAAGAAGGUUUUCGGAUCGUAAAGCUCUGUUGUAAGUCAAGAACGAGUGUGAGAGUGGAAAGUUCACACUGUGACGGUAGCUUACCAGAAAGGGACGGCUAACUACGUGCCAGCAGCCGCGGUAAUACGUAGGUCCCGAGCGUUGUCCGGAUUUAUUGGGCGUAAAGCGAGCGCAGGCGGUUUGAUAAGUCUGAAGUUAAAGGCUGUGGCUCAACCAUAGUUCGCUUUGGAAACUGUCAAACUUGAGUGCAGAAGGGGAGAGUGGAAUUCCAUGUGUAGCGGUGAAAUGCGUAGAUAUAUGGAGGAACACCGGUGGCGAAAGCGGCUCUCUGGUCUGUAACUGACGCUGAGGCUCGAAAGCGUGGGGAGCGAACAGGAUUAGAUACCCUGGUAGUCCACGCCGUAAACGAUGAGUGCUAGGUGUUGGAUCCUUUCCGGGAUUCAGUGCCGCAGCUAACGCAUUAAGCACUCCGCCUGGGGAGUACGACCGCAAGGUUGAAACUCAAAGGAAUUGACGGGGGCCCGCACAAGCGGUGGAGCAUGUGGUUUAAUUCGAAGCAACGCGAAGAACCUUACCAGGUCUUGACAUCCCGAUGCUAUUUCUAGAGAUAGAAAGUUACUUCGGUACAUCGGUGACAGGUGGUGCAUGGUUGUCGUCAGCUCGUGUCCUGAGAUGUUGGGUUAAGUCCC